CCUACGGGAGGCAGCAGUAGGGAAUAUUGGGCAAUGGAGGCAACUCUGACCCAGCCAUGCCGCGUGAACGAAGAAGGCGCUAUGCGUCGUAAAGUUCUUUUAGAGGGGGCGAAAACACUUGAUUCAUCAAGUACUGACGGUACCUUCGGAAUAAGCACCGGCUAACUCUGUGCCAGCAGCCGCGGUAAUACAGAGGGUGCAAGCGUUAUCCGGAAUCACUGGGUUUAAAGGGUGCGUAGGCGGGAUUAUAAGUCAGAGGUGAAAUCUCGUCGCUUAACGACGGAAUUGCCUUUGAUACUGUUUUUCUUGAAAUUUGUUGAGGUUGGCGGAAUGAGACAUGUAGCGGUGAAAUGCUUAGAUAUGUCUUAGAACACCGAUUGCGAAGGCAGCUGACUGGACAAUAUUUGACGCUGAGGCACGAAAGCGUGGGGAUCAAACAGGAUUAGAUACCCUGGUAGUCCACGCCCUAAACGAUGUUUACUUGCUGUUUGUCUUUCGGGAUGAGUGGCGAAGCGAAAGCGAUAAGUAAACCACCUGGGGAGUACGCCCGCAAGGGUGAAACUCAAAGGAUUGACGG
This 577-nucleotide ribosomal RNA is filed under the name uncultured bacterium. RNAcentral's name for it is "bacterial SSU rRNA". It matches the Rfam family "Bacterial small subunit ribosomal RNA", at positions 338 to 916 of the family's 1533-position model. The record is from RNAcentral.